CUCUAACGGAUUGAAUUGCAAUUUUUUUUACUGACUGACUAUUGCACAUGAGAUAAUUUCAUUAUAGAUUUGUAAUGUUUUGACAUGUAUGUUAUCAACAAAACAUGUUUUCUUUUUCCAGGUUGUGUAUUUUGGAAUCAGAAUUAUCAGACACAUUGCUUGUAGGGCGUUGACGACAGGAACUUGAAAUUUACUGUGGAGUGCUACCUUAAGAUUUUGGUCUGAGUUUGUAUGGUAGAGUUAUACUGUCAUCAUCAUCAUCACUUUUGCUAUUUUUUGUUAUGUGAGUGACAUCAAUUGCUUCUGCUUGGCUAAGUCUCACUACUUGUUCAACAGUUUCAGUAGGUUGUGUAUUUUGGAAUCAGAAUUAUCAGACACAUUGCUUGUAGGGCGUUGACGACAGGAACUUGAAAUUUACUGUGGAGUGCUACCAUAACU
Ruditapes philippinarum (Manila clam) is the source of this 438-nucleotide long non-coding RNA. RefSeq lists it as uncharacterized. NCBI's taxonomy places the organism in Eukaryota, Metazoa, Mollusca, Bivalvia, Venerida, Veneridae. The transcript has 3 exons. The record is from RefSeq and is a predicted model, not a curated record.